UGGGGAAUAUUGCACAAUGGGCGAAAGCCUGAUGCAGCAACGCCGCGUGAGUGAUGAAGGUCUUCGGAUUGUAAAGCUCUGUCUUUUGGGACGAUAAUGACGGUACCAAAGGAGGAAGCCACGGCUAACUACGUGCCAGCAGCCGCGGUAAUACGUAGGUGGCGAGCGUUGUCCGGAUUUACUGGGCGUAAAGGGUGCGUAGGCGGAUGUUUAAGUGAGAUGUGAAAUACCCGGGCUUAACUUGGGUGCUGCAUUUCAAACUGGAUAUCUAGAGUGCAGGAGAGGAGAAUGGAAUUCCUAGUGUAGCGGUGAAAUGCGUAGAGAUUAGGAAGAACACCAGUGGCGAAGGCGAUUCUCUGGACUGUAACUGACGCUGAGGCACGAAAGCGUGGGUAGCAAACAGGAUUAGAUACCCUGGUAGUCCACGCCGUAAAACGAUGAGUACUAGGUGUAGGAGGUAUCGACCCCUUCUGUGCCGCAGUAAACACAUUAAGUACUCCGCCUGGGAAGUACGAUCGCAAGAUUAAAAACUCUAAAGUGAAUUGAC
RNAcentral lists this ribosomal RNA (547 nucleotides) under uncultured bacterium. RNAcentral describes it as "partial 16S ribosomal RNA". It matches the Rfam family "Bacterial small subunit ribosomal RNA", at positions 355 to 914 of the family's 1533-position model. The record is from RNAcentral.